Non-coding RNA from Grammomys surdaster, 381 nucleotides. NCBI's taxonomy places the organism in Eukaryota, Metazoa, Chordata, Mammalia, Rodentia, Muridae. The record is from the annotation of a RefSeq genome assembly.
AUGAACUCUCCUCCUAAGCUGGUGAUUAUACUCUACUUAAUGUUUGGAGAAAGCAAUGGAGACUUGGUGACUCAGACAGAAGGCCAAGUGACACUCUCUGAAGGGAUUUCUCUGACUGUGAACUGUUCCUAUGAAACCAAACAGUACCCAACCCUGUUCUGGUAUGUGCAGUAUCCCGGAGAAGGUCCACAGCUCCUCAUUACAGCCUCAUGGAACAAGGAGAAGGGAAGCAGCAGAGGUUUUGAAGCCACGUAUAAUAAAGAAACCACCUCCUUCCACUUGCAGAAAGCCUCCGUGCAGGAGUCAGACUCGGCUGUGUACUACUGUGCUCUGAGUGACACAGUGGCAGAAACCACAGGGAGAGUGGAGCACAAACUCUGA